Paramuricea clavata is the source of this 766-nucleotide non-coding RNA. The record is from the annotation of a GenBank genome assembly. NCBI's taxonomy places the organism in Eukaryota, Metazoa, Cnidaria, Anthozoa, Malacalcyonacea, Plexauridae.
UAGAGAAAACGGUCAGUUCCAACUGGCAAUUGAAAACUUUCAAAAAGCCUUAAAAUUGGCUCAAAAACUAAAAGAGAAAAACAAAGUAACCCACGCAAAUCUGGAGUUGGGAUAUGCUUAUGAAAUGAAAAAUGAACUUCAUAUAGCAACGAAAUAUUAUGAAAAAGCCUUGAAAAUUGCAAAAGAAGGAAAAGAGGAAGAACAGGGAAGAGCAGCAUUAUCUGGGUUACAGAAUGUUUGCCUACGGACCGGUGGACAGACUGCAUACUUAAAGAAACCCUGGGAAACAAAGAUAUUAAUUGGGUUAGGACAUGAUUAUAAAGAGAACAACGAACUUGAAAAGGCAAUUGAAUUUUUUAAAAAGACCUUGGCGGCUUCAUAUAAACGGGGAGAUAAAGAUCACGACGCAACCGAGGCAUUACUUCUGUUAGGAGAUGCUUAUAAUUUACAAGACCAGUUGGAAAUGGCAAUUAAAUACUUUAAGGACGCUUUGAAAAUUACGAAAAAACGAAAAGAUAAAGCCCAUCAGACAACGGCAUACCUUAGAUUAGGAGAUGCCUAUAGACUGAACAGUCAGUUUUCGAUAGCAGUUGGAUUCUUUGAAAAGGCCUUGGAGAUUGCAAAAAAACAAAAAGAUAAACAACAGGAAACAGAAGCAUUACUUAGUUUAGGAAUUGUUAAUAUUGAGAACAAUCAGAUUCAAAAGGCAAUUAAACACUUUGAAAAAGUCUUGGAUAUAGCACAAGAAAGUGAAAAUAAACAGCAG